This 21-nucleotide ribosomal RNA is filed under the name Dendrobium tetragonum var. giganteum. RNAcentral's name for it is "partial 26S ribosomal RNA". The record is from RNAcentral. Lineage: Eukaryota; Viridiplantae; Streptophyta; Magnoliopsida; Asparagales; Orchidaceae.
GCGACCCCAGGAUGGGCGAGC